AAAUUGAAGAGUUUGAUCAUGGCUCAGAUUGAACGCUGGCGGCAGGCCUAACACAUGCAAGUCGAACGGUAACAGGAAACAGCUUGCUGUUUCGCUGACGAGUGGCGGACGGGUGAGUAAUGUCUGGGAAACUGCCUGAUGGAGGGGGAUAACUACUGGAAACGGUAGCUAAUACCGCAUAACGUCGCAAGACCAAAGAGGGGGACCUUCGGGCCUCUUGCCAUCGGAUGUGCCCAGAUGGGAUUAGCUUGUU
RNAcentral lists this ribosomal RNA (253 nucleotides) under Escherichia coli. Its description in RNAcentral is "partial 16S ribosomal RNA". It matches the Rfam family "Bacterial small subunit ribosomal RNA", at positions 1 to 250 of the family's 1533-position model. Lineage: Bacteria; Pseudomonadati; Pseudomonadota; Gammaproteobacteria; Enterobacterales; Enterobacteriaceae. The record is from RNAcentral.